AGUGGCAGACGGGUGAGUAAUGUAUAGGAAUCUACCUAGUAGUACGGAAUAAUUGUUGGAAACGGCAACUAAUACCGUAUACGCCCUACGGGGGAAAAAUUUAUUGCUAUUAGAUGAGCCUAUAUUAGAUUAGUUAGUUGGUGAGGUAAAGGCUUACCAAGACAAUGAUCUAUAGCUGAUCUGAGAGGAUGAUCAGCCACACUGGAACUGAGAUACGGUCCAGACUCCUACGGGAGGCAGCAGUGGGGAAUAUUGGACAAUGGGCGAAAGCCUGAUCCAGCUAUGCCGCAUGAGUGAAGAAGGCCUUCGGGUUGUAAAGCUCUUUUAGUGAGGAAGAUAAUGACGGUACUCACAGAAGAAGUCCUGGCUAACUCCGUGCCAGCAGCCGCGGUAAUACGGAGAGGGCUAGCGUUAUUCGGAAUUAUUGGGCGUAAAGGGCGCGUAGGCGGAUUAGUAAGUUAAAAGUGAAAUCCCAAGGCUCAACCUUGGAAUUGCUUUUAAAACUGCUAACCUAGAGAUUGAAAGAGGAUAGAGGAAUUCCUAGUGUAGAGGUGAAAUUCGUAAAUAUUA
RNAcentral lists this ribosomal RNA (570 nucleotides) under uncultured Wolbachia sp. RNAcentral describes it as "bacterial SSU rRNA". It matches the Rfam family "Bacterial small subunit ribosomal RNA", at positions 94 to 699 of the family's 1533-position model. Lineage: Bacteria; Pseudomonadati; Pseudomonadota; Alphaproteobacteria; Rickettsiales; Anaplasmataceae. The record is from RNAcentral.